RNAcentral lists this long non-coding RNA (249 nucleotides) under Mytilus galloprovincialis (Mediterranean mussel). The record is from RNAcentral. Lineage: Eukaryota; Metazoa; Mollusca; Bivalvia; Mytilida; Mytilidae.
UUCAAUUCUGUCUCUGUAGCACUCAGACAGAAAUAUAGAUCUAAAUUAUACAUAGAUCAGGCCGCUAUAUUUCGCAUUGUUCAGAACCACUUUUUGUAUGUUGAUAUCUUGAUUUCUACAAUAAACCAAUUCAUCAAGCCUCAUAACAUUCCAACUUGUACUCCUUUGAUUGAAACAAAAAUCUUGGAAAAUUUGUACGGAAGCGUUUUAGCGACACAUAAUCUUUUUACAUUUCUUCUAAUGUUUGCG